UACGUAGGGCGCGAGCGUUAAUCGGAAUCACUGGGCGUAAAGCGCACGUAGGCGGACUCUUAAGUCGGUGGUGAAAUCCUGGAGCUCAACUCCAGAACUGCCUUCGAUACUGGGAGUCUCGAGUCCGGGAGAGGUGAGUGGAACUGCGAGUGUAGAGGUGAAAUUCGUAGAUAUUCGCAAGAACACCAGUGGCGAAGGCGGCUCACUGGCCCGGUACUGACGCUGAGGUGCGAAAGCGUGGGGAGCAAACAGG
This 253-nucleotide ribosomal RNA is filed under the name uncultured bacterium. RNAcentral's name for it is "partial 16S ribosomal RNA". It matches the Rfam family "Bacterial small subunit ribosomal RNA", at positions 524 to 776 of the family's 1533-position model. The record is from RNAcentral.